GGGUUGUGAGGUUAAGCGACUAAGCGUACACGGUGGAUGCCCUGGCAGUCAGAGGCGAUGAAGGACGUGCUAAUCUGCGAAAAGCGUCGGUAAGGUGAUAUGAACCGUUAUAGCCGGCGAUGUCCGAAUGGGGAAACCCAGUGCAAUUCGUUGCACUAUCGUUAACUGAAUACAUAGGUUAACGAGGCGAACCGGGGGAACUGAAACAUCUAAGUACCCCGAGGAAAAGAAAUCAACCGAGAUUCCCCCAGUAGCGGCGAGCGAACGGGGAGCAGCCCGGAGUCUGAAUCAGCUUGUGUGUUAGUGGAAGCGUCUGGAAAGUCGCAGGGUACAGGGUGAUACUCCCGUACACUAAAGCGCACAGGCUGUGAACUCGAAGAGUAGGGCGGGACACGUGGUAUCCUGUCUGAAUAUGGGGGGACCAUCCUCCAAGGCUAAAUACUCCUGACUGACCGAUAGUGAACCAGUACCGUGAGGGAAAGGCGAAAAGAACCCCGGCGAGGGGAGUGAAAAAGAACCUGAAACCGUGUACGUACAAGCAGUAGGAGCCUCUUUAUGGGGUGACUGCGUACCUUUUGUAUAAUGGGUCAGCGACUUAUAUUCUGUAGCAAGGUUAACCGUAUAGGGGAGCCGCAGGGAAACCGAGUCUUAACUGGGCGUUAAGUUGCAGGGUAUAGACCCGAAACCCGGUGAUCUAGCCAUGGGCAGGUUGAAGGUUGGGUAACACUAACUGGAGGACCGAACCGACUAAUGUUGAAAAAUUAGCGGAUGACUUGUGGCUGGGGGUGAAAGGCCAAUCAAACCGGGAGAUAGCUGGUUCUCCCCGAAAGCUAUUUAGGUAGCGCCUCGUGAACUCAUCUUCGGGGGUAGAGCACUGUUUCGGCUAGGGGGUCAUCCCGACUUACCAACCCGAUGCAAACUACGAAUACCGAAGAAUGUUAUCACGGGAGACACACGGCGGGUGCUAACGUCCGUCGUGAAGAGGGAAACAACCCAGACCGCCAGCUAAGGUCCCAAAGUCAUGGUUAAGUGGGAAACGAUGUGGGAAGGCCCAGACAGCCAGGAUGUUGGCUUAGAAGCAGCCAUCAUUUAAAGAAAGCGUAAUAGCUCACUGGUCGAGUCGGCCUGCGCGGAAGAUGUAACGGGGCUAAACCAUGCACCGAAGCUGCGGCAGCGACACUAUGUGUUGUUGGGUAGGGGAGCGUUCUGUAAGCCGUUGAAGGUGGCCUGUGAGGGUUGCUGGAGGUAUCAGAAGUGCGAAUGCUGACAUAAGUAACGAUAAUGCGGGUGAAAAACCCGCACGCCGGAAGACCAAGGGUUCCUGUCCAACGUUAAUCGGGGCAGGGUGAGUCGACCCCUAAGGCGAGGCCGAAAGGCGUAGUCGAUGGGAAACAGGUUAAUAUUCCUGUACUCGGUGUUACUGCGAAGGGGGGACGGAGAAGGCUAUGUUGGCCGGGCGACGGUUGUCCCGGUUUAAGCAUGUAGGCGGAUGUUCCAGGUAAAUCCGGAACGUUACUAACGCUGAGGUGUGAUGACGAGGCACUACGGUGCUGAAGUGACAAAUGCCCUGCUUCCAGGAAAAGCCUCUAAGCAUCAGGUAACAUCAAAUCGUACCCCAAACCGACACAGGUGGUCAGGUAGAGAAUACCAAGGCGCUUGAGAGAACUCGGGUGAAGGAACUAGGCAAAAUGGUGCCGUAACUUCGGGAGAAGGCACGCUGAUAUGUAGGUGAAGUGGUUUACCCAUGGAGCUGAAAUCAGUCGAAGAUACCAGCUGGCUGCAACUGUUUAUUAAAAACACAGCACUGUGCAAACACGAAAGUGGACGUAUACGGUGUGACGCCUGCCCGGUGCCGGAAGGUUAAUUGAUGGGGUUAUCCGUAAGGAGAAGCUCUUGAUCGAAGCCCCGGUAAACGGCGGCCGUAACUAUAACGGUCCUAAGGUAGCGAAAUUCCUUGUCGGGUAAGUUCCGACCUGCACGAAUGGCGUAAUGAUGGCCAGGCUGUCUCCACCCGAGACUCAGUGAAAUUGAACUCGCUGUGAAGAUGCAGUGUACCCGCGGCAAGACGGAAAGACCCCGUGAACCUUUACUAUAGCUUGACACUGAACACUGGUCCUUGAUGUGUAGGAUAGGUGGGAGGCUUUGAAGCGUGGACGCCAGUCUGCGUGGAGCCAUCCUUGAAAUACCACCCUUUAAUGGCUGGUGUUCUAACGUGGGCCCGUUAUCCGGGUUGCGGACAGUGUCUGGUGGGUAGUUUGACUGGGGCGGUCUCCUCCUAAAGAGUAACGGAGGAGCACGAAGGUCAGCUAAUCCUGGUCGGACAUCAGGAGGUUAGUGCAAUGGCAUAAGCUGGCUUGACUGCGAGCGUGACGGCGCGAGCAGGUGCGAAAGCAGGUCAUAGUGAUCCGGUGGUUCUGAAUGGAAGGGCCAUCGCUCAACGGAUAAAAGGUACUCCGGGGAUAACAGGCUGAUACCGCCCAAGAGUUCAUAUCGACGGCGGUGUUUGGCACCUCGAUGUCGGCUCAUCACAUCCUGGGGCUGAAGUAGGUCCCAAGGGUAUGGCUGUUCGCCAUUUAAAGUGGUACGCGAGCUGGGUUUAGAACGUCGUGAGACAGUUCGGUCCCUAUCUGCCGUGGGCGCUGGAGAAUUGAGGGGGGCUGCUCCUAGUACGAGAGGACCGGAGUGGACGCAUCACUGGUGUUCGGGUUGUCAUGCCAAUGGCAUUGCCCGGUAGCUAAAUGCGGAAGAGAUAAGUGCUGAAAGCAUCUAAGCACGAAACUUGCCCCGAGAUGAGUUCUCCCUGACUCCUUGAGAGUCCUGAAGGAACGUUGAAGACGACGACGUUGAUAGGCCGGGUGUGUAAGCGCAGCGAUGCGUUGAGCUAACCGGUACUAAUGAACCGUGAGGCUUAACCUUACAACGCCGAAG
Molecule: ribosomal RNA, 2928 nt
Filed under: Klebsiella grimontii
Lineage: Bacteria; Pseudomonadati; Pseudomonadota; Gammaproteobacteria; Enterobacterales; Enterobacteriaceae
Description: 23S ribosomal RNA
Rfam family: Bacterial large subunit ribosomal RNA
Source: RNAcentral